Molecule: ribosomal RNA, 458 nt
Filed under: uncultured bacterium
Lineage: Bacteria
Description: partial 16S ribosomal RNA
Rfam family: Bacterial small subunit ribosomal RNA
Source: RNAcentral
CCUACGGGAGGCAGCAGUGAGGAAUAUUGGUCAAUGGGCGAGAGCCUGAACCAGCCAAGUCGCGUGAGGGAGUACUGCCCUAUGGGUUGUAAACCUCUUUUGUCGGGGAGCAAAAGCCGGACGUGUCCGGCUGUGAGAGUACCCGAAGAAAAAGCAUCGGCUAACUCCGUGCCAGCAGCCGCGGUAAUACGGAGGGUGCGAGCGUUAUCCGGAUUUAUUGGGUUUAAAGGGUGCGAAGGCGGAUUUUUAAGUCAGCGGUAAAAUCGUGGGGCUCAACCCCAUCCAGCCGUUGAAACUGGGGAUCUAGAGUGUGCGAGAGGUAUGCGGAAUGCGUGGUGUAGCGGUGAAAUGCAUAGAUAUCACGCAGAACCCCGAUUGCGAAGGCAGCAUACCGGUGCACAACUGACGCUCAGGCACGAAAGCGUGGGUAUCGAACAGGAUUAGAUACCCCAGUAGUC